RNAcentral lists this ribosomal RNA (253 nucleotides) under uncultured bacterium. Its description in RNAcentral is "partial 16S ribosomal RNA". It matches the Rfam family "Bacterial small subunit ribosomal RNA", at positions 524 to 776 of the family's 1533-position model. The record is from RNAcentral.
UACGUAGGGUGCAAGCGUUGUCCGGAAUUAUUGGGCGUAAAGAGCUCGUAGGCGGUUUGUCGCGUCUGCUGUGAAAACUCGGGGCUUAACCCCGGGCCUGCAGUGGGUACGGGCAGACUAGAGUGCGGUAGGGGAGACUGGAAUUCCUGGUGUAGCGGUGAAAUGCGCAGAUAUCAGGAGGAACACCGGUGGCGAAGGCGGGUCUCUGGGACGGUACUGACGCUGAGGCGCGAAAGCGUGGGGAGCGAACAGG